Molecule: ribosomal RNA, 253 nt
Filed under: uncultured bacterium
Lineage: Bacteria
Description: partial 16S ribosomal RNA
Rfam family: Bacterial small subunit ribosomal RNA
Source: RNAcentral
UACGUAGGGUGCAAGCGUUGUCCGGAAUUAUUGGGCGUAAAGAGCUUGUAGGCGGUUUGUCGCGUCUGCUGUGAAAUUUCGGGGCUCAACCCCGAACUUGCAGUGGGUACGGGCAGACUAGAGUGAUGUAGGGGAGACUGGAAUUCCUGGUGUAGCGGUGAAAUGCGCAGAUAUCAGGAGGAACACCGAUGGCGAAGGCAGGUCUCUGGGCUGUAACUGACGCUGAGGAGCGAAAGCAUGGGGAGCGAACAGG